RNAcentral lists this unclassified non-coding RNA (180 nucleotides) under uncultured Sebacina. RNAcentral describes it as "sequence contains ITS1". The record is from RNAcentral. Lineage: Eukaryota; Fungi; Basidiomycota; Agaricomycetes; Sebacinales; Sebacinaceae.
AUGAUUGCGAAUUGUUGCCUUCAGUGCUGGCCGGGCUUCCGCUUUGGCAAGUGCACGUCGGUGACUUUCAUCCAAUACCCUGUGCACCUUUGGCCUCUUGCUAGCUUCGGCUGGUAGAGGAUUUUUACACAUAUACUCGAAUGUAAUGAAAAACUAUUGUCGUGCGCAAGCACUAAUGUA